RNAcentral lists this ribosomal RNA (498 nucleotides) under uncultured bacterium. RNAcentral describes it as "partial 16S ribosomal RNA". It matches the Rfam family "Bacterial small subunit ribosomal RNA", at positions 30 to 523 of the family's 1533-position model. The record is from RNAcentral.
AUUGAACGCUGGCGGCAUGCCUUACACAUGCACGUCGAACGGUAACAGGUCUUCGGAUGCUGACGAGUGGCGAACGGGUGAGUAAUACAUCGGAACGUGCCUAGUAGUGGGGGAUAACUACUCGAAAGAGUGGCUAAUACCGCAUGAGAUCUACGGAUGAAAGCAGGGGAUCGCAAGACCUUGUGCUACUAGAGCGGCCGAUGGCAGAUUAGGUAGUUGGUGGGAUAAAAGCUUACCAAGCCGACGAUCUGUAGCUGGUCUGAUAGGACGAUCAGCCGCACUGGGACUGAGAAACGGCCCAGACUCCUACGGGAGGCAGCAGUGGGGAAUUUUGGACAAUGGGCGCAAGCCUGAUCCAGCAAUGCCGCGUGCAGGAUGAAGGCCUUCGGGUUGUAAACUGCUUUUGUACGGAACGAAAAGCCCCGGGUUAAUACCCUGGGGUCAUGACGGUACCGUAAGAAUAAGCACCGGCUAACUACGUGCCAGCCGCCGCCGUAA